ACAGUGUCAUUUACACUAAUCGACCAACAGGGAAAAACUCACAUUAUGACUCGACUGGACUGACAAUGCUCUGAUACCACUAAUGUAACCCCUUCUACCCAAACGACAUAUUUAUAUAUAUAUUAUCAGAGUACAACAUGUAGAAGAGUUUACAUUCUUACAACAUAACACUCAUUACAUUACAACAUAAAACAUAUCAUUUAUUUGAUUUAAAACUUCGCAGCGGACAACAACAUAAAUAUUAUAAUAAUGUUUCAACAUUAUCUCAACAAAACAUCGCAACAAAUUAUUCAUCAUAAAAACACGUAAAUAAUAAUAAUU
This 321-nucleotide long non-coding RNA is filed under the name Lathyrus oleraceus (garden pea). RNAcentral's name for it is "Pisum sativum (pea) long non-coding RNA (PSAT_LNC018593)". Lineage: Eukaryota; Viridiplantae; Streptophyta; Magnoliopsida; Fabales; Fabaceae. The record is from RNAcentral.